Molecule: long non-coding RNA, 453 nt
Filed under: Sorghum bicolor (sorghum)
Lineage: Eukaryota; Viridiplantae; Streptophyta; Magnoliopsida; Poales; Poaceae
Description: long non-coding RNA (SBIC_LNC016258)
Source: RNAcentral
AGGUGGGUGUAUGGAUCUUCAUCUACUUGCCCAGAGAACGGUUGCUCCUGAAUUAUGGCUAUUAGAUCAGGGCCAAGGUUGUAGCCAUCUGUAAGAAUUGGAUGUGAUGAUGGUGGUGGCUCUAAUAACUCGCCCUUUGGAGCAAAGAACUUAUAGAUAGGACUGAAUCCAUGUGGUGUGGUGAAAAUGGUAAGGUGAGUGUGGUAAAAAAAGAAAAAGAAAAGGAUACACAGACGACUUGGUUCGAAACUAGCAUAGCUACCGAUCCCCGGCAACAGCGCCAGAAAGCUUAUUGGGUAUUUUAAACGCAAACAAAAAAAUCCACAAUCGCACGGAUACCGAUGUAGCUUUCACCCGGGAGUAUUCCAGAGGUAUCGAUUUUCCACGGGGAACGUGAGUGUACUAAUUAAGAUUCAAGAUCGCCCAAGGAUAACUAUAUAAUUAUUUUUGGUG